Long non-coding RNA from Sander lucioperca (pikeperch), 211 nucleotides. RefSeq lists it as uncharacterized. The transcript is spliced from 3 exons. Lineage: Eukaryota; Metazoa; Chordata; Actinopteri; Perciformes; Percidae. The record is from RefSeq and is a predicted model, not a curated record.
AUUAACGGGAAUAUAUGGGAAUUAACGGGAAUUAAUGGGAAUAAACUGGAUUUUUUUUAAUAUUGCUUGUUAUAAUACUGUUAGGCUAUAACAGGGAACUUAAAUGUAGUUGGAAAAAAACAUCUUGCAGCAUAAUCUUGGUUAAAACAACCUGAUUUAAUGCAACUUCAGUUGAAUGUCCUCCCUAUAUUCGUCAAUGACAUGCAGGAAA